GUUCGUGCAUGUCUAAGGUAUAGCAAUUAUACCGCGAAACUGCGAAUGGCUCAUUAAAUCAGUUAUCGUUUAUUUGAUAGUACCUUACUACAUGGAUAACCGUGGUAAUUCUAGAGCUAAUACAUGCUAAAAAUCCCGACUUCGGAAGGGAUGUAUUUAUUAGAUUAAAAACCAAUGCCCUUCGGGGCUCUCUGGUGAUUCAUAAUAACUUCUCGAAUCGCACGGCCUUGCGCCGGCGAUGGUUCAUUCAAAUUUCUGCCCUAUCAACUUUCGACGGCUGGGUCUUGGCCAGCCGUGGUGACAACGGGUAACGGAGGGUUAGGGCUCGACCCCGGAGAAGGAGCCUGAGAAACGGCUACUACAUCCAAGGAAGGCAGCAGGCGCGCAAAUUACCCAAUCCCGACACGGGGAGGUAGUGACAAUAAAUACUGAUACAGGGCUCUUUCGGGUCUUGUAAUUGGAAUGAGUACAAUUUAAAUCCCUUAACGAGGAACAAUUGGAGGGCAAGUCUGGUGCCAGCAGCCGCGGUAAUUCCAGCUCCAAUAGCGUAUAUUAAAGUUGUUGAGGUUAAAAAGCUCGUAGUUGAACCUUGGGCCUAGCCGGCCGGUCCGCCUCACCGCGUGCACUGGCUCGGCUGGGUCUUUCCUUCUGGAGAACCGCAUGCCCUUCACUGGGUGUGCCGGGGAACCAGGACUUUUACUCUGAAUAAAUUAGAUCGCUUAAAGAAGGCCUAUGCUCGAAUACAUUAGCAUGGAAUAAUAGAAUAGGACGUGUGGUUCUAUUUUGUUGGUUUCUAGGACCGCCGUAAUGAUUAAUAGGGACAGUCGGGGGCAUCAGUAUUCAAUUGUCAGAGGUGAAAUUCUUGGAUUUAUUGAAGACUAACUACUGCGAAAGCAUUUGCCAAGGAUGUUUUCAUUAAUCAGGAACGAAAGUUAGGGGAUCGAAGACGAUCAGAUACCGUCGUAGUCUUAACCAUAAACUAUGCCGAUUAGGGAUCGGACGGCGUUAUUUUUUGACCCGUUCGGCACCUUACGAUAAAUCAAAAUGUUUGGGCUCCUGGGGGGAGUAUGGUCGCAAGGCUGAAACUUAAAGAAAUUGACGGAAGGGCACCACCAGGGGUGGAGCCUGCGGCUUAAUUUGACUCAACACGGGGAAACUCACCAGGUCCAGACACGAUGAGGAUUGACAGAUUGAAAGCUCUUUCUUGAUUUCCUGGGGUGGGGGUGCAGGGCCGUUCUUAUUUGUGGGAGGGAUUUGUCUGGCUAAUUUGCAAAACCGAAAGGAACCUUAACCCGGCUAAUAAGCCCCGAAUUGUCUUUGGGGAAAACCUGGGUCUUCUAAAGGGAAAUCCGGCCUCAACCCCAGGGAGAUUUGGGGGCAAAACAAGGCCUGUGAAGCCCCUUAAAUAUUUCUGGGCGCCCCCGCCGCUACUUUGAAAGAACCCACGGGAAUCCCUUU
Molecule: ribosomal RNA, 1458 nt
Filed under: Chaetomium sp.
Lineage: Eukaryota; Fungi; Ascomycota; Sordariomycetes; Sordariales; Chaetomiaceae
Description: SSU rRNA
Rfam family: Eukaryotic small subunit ribosomal RNA
Source: RNAcentral